UGGCGAGAAGUACGCGGAAUGCGCGGUGUAGCGGUGAAAUGCAUAGAUAUCGCGCAGAACUCCGAUUGCGAAGGCAGCGUACCGGCGCCAGACUGACGCUGAGGCACGAAAGCGUGGGGAUCAAACAGGAUUAGAUACCCUGGUAGUCCGCACAGUAAACGAUGAAUGCUAGCUGUCCGGGGGGAUUGACCCCUGGGUGGCACAGCGAAAGCGUUAAGCAUUCCACCUGGGGAGUACGCCGGCAACGGUGAAACUCAAAGGAAUUGACGGGGGCCCGCACAAGCGGAGGAACAUGUGGUUUAAUUCGAUGAUACGCGAGGAACCUUACCCGGGCUCAAACGCAUAAUGACGACAGUUGAAAGAUUGUUUCCCUUCGGGGCAUUAUGCGAGGUGCUGCAUGGUUGUCGUCAGCUCGUGCCGUGAGGUGUCGGCUUAAGUGCCAUAACGAGCGCAACCCCUAUCGACAGUUGCUAACGAGUCGAGUCGAGGACUCUGUCGAGACUGCCGGCGCAAGCUGUGAGGAAGGCGGGGAUGACGUCAAAUCAGCACGGCCCUUACGUCCGGGGCGACACACGUGUUACAAUGGCAGGGACAGCGGGAAGCCACCAAGCGAUUGGGCGCGGAACCCGAAACCCUGUCUCAGUUCGGAUUGGAGUCUGCAACCCGACUCCAUGAAGCUGGAUUCGCUAGUAAUCGCGCAUCAGCCACGGCGCGGUGAAUACGUUCCCGGGCCUUGUACACACCGCCCGUCAAGCCAUGGAAGCCGGGGGUGCCUGAAGUGCGUGACCGCAAGGAGCGCCCUAGGGUAAAACCGGUGACUGGGGCUAAGUCGUAACAAGGUAACCGUAA
Molecule: ribosomal RNA, 849 nt
Filed under: uncultured bacterium
Lineage: Bacteria
Description: bacterial SSU rRNA
Rfam family: Bacterial small subunit ribosomal RNA
Source: RNAcentral